GAAGGAUCUCGGGCUCUUUGAAGCACACACCGAGAAGUACACCUACCGAUACACGGGUAUGAGAGGCAGGAGGCUGCUGUCAUGGUCGGCGUCCGCCGAGAAAAAUGCGCAGAGAGGAUUGCAGCCGAGCCGAGCCACGUCGGCAUCGCCUCCCUCCUCUACCCCGCCACCCUGAAGCUUCAAAUGGCCUUUGUGCCGGCAUCGACCGUCCGCAGCCGCAUCCACAACUGCACUUUACACGGCCGCCUACAACCUCUGGCGCACCGUCAGCUCACCGCCGCCAGAGCGACAGCUCACAGCUGAGACCAGCGGGACGGGGAAAUGCUGUAGGCCGUGCAGCCGCUGAACUGCGCCAUACAGGCAUGAAACCGAUGCUCUCCCGUCGACCGCCUGCACCGUUCACCAACUCCUCCAGAGCGAUGGCACGCUCCUCAGAAUUUGCUCCAGGAGCUGCUGACGCUGCCGCCACCGUGGCUACGCUCAACUGUGGAGCGGCAUUGGAUGAGCAGCCGCCAGUAGCAGCUGAGCGUGCUUCGUCAACGUCAUCGCCGCUGUCAUUGCCGUACGCACAGCCUGCAACUGCUGCAGGCGUGACGCCGUUGUUCAACCCACACCCUCCUCCCUCAUCACCAUCGCCAGCAGAGGAGGGUUUGCCUGGUAGAUAUCGCACGACCGCCAUGCAGUUCAUCAAGGCUAUAGAGAGGCUGAAUCGCAUGACUUCCACGACCUGCAGCGCGGAUGCCACCUCAUUCUUCGCUCUGACCGAAGAGAGGACCGCGAGCGGCAAAGUCGGCGUUCGAAAGAUGGCGCGUGUACCUCUGCUGCCCCUCACACUCUGCACGGACGGGGCGACCGUAAUACUUGUGGAUCCCAAUGGCACAGAACGACACGGCAACUACUUGAAAGCUGUUGACGGGUUCCACCAGUACUCAGCAGCGUUCACGAGCGCCGCCUCGAGUCACGGCAGCGCCGCACCCUCUGUAUCACCACACCCGCCCUCGAACGUGCUGUGGUGGGCCUUGAGUGAUCUGCAGCAGACGCCUUGUGCAGUACCACUCACCACGGCACGCGCGUCGCUCUCCGUGGAGCGCCUUAUCAGCGGCAACGAUAGCGUGAACAAAGAUCAGAGCUUCACUCAGCCGAGGCCCGCGCACGCUCCGGGGCGCGAGACUUCACCAACCAUGGGACCUGCGAAGACGACGGCGACGUUCGCCGCCAUUCAACCGUGCCGGCUCACCCUUCGCUACGGAGAGCCGCUCGCGCUGGUCUUCGCCAGCGCCGGUGCACGAGUUGGGGCUGAAGCGGCCGCGGACGUGCCGCCAUGGUCCACUGCAAAUGAAUCAACUGGUCAGCGAGAAGGCUCCCCCCACAUCGGCUACAACCUCCUGCGCGACGUUUACCACGGCUAUCUUCCAUCGUUUCUCGAGUUCCUCUACCCAAACGGAGGCAUCAUGCUGCGUGGGUGUUGGUGUGCUGUAUCAACCAGUGCCGCGGAUGAACCGAUGGCACCGUCCGUGAAGCCGUUUUCCCAGCAACAGCAGCAGGUGUCACGAGCAACAGUAUCGUUAAGGGAUGGUGGCGGUGGAGCUGCGCCGCGUUCCUCGUCUCGUUCUCCCACGUCACGAGGCGAACAGGGAUUGCUUGUCACAACGGUGCCGAUGCCACUCCUCGGCUGGUCACCACAGUCCACCGGCCCGGUGCCCAUCGCUCGAAGGGACAACGACGCCGGCGCAGUCGAUGAAGAAACGUUCAUGCCGUCUUUUCGACCAACCGCCGUGCCUCCACCACGGCGCUCGCCAGCUACGAACACUGUGGUCGAUCUUGGUGCGGCCACAUGCAAGCGGACAACGUUGCCAGACGCUGUCUUGCAGCUUCCGCCUGCUGUCCUGCGCUUCCUGGCACAGGACGGCGGCAGGACAAGCGUGGCCUCGGCAAUCAUCCCGGGCGGCCCUCGCGCUUACCUGUCGUCGUCGCCGCCGCCUCCUUCUCAGCCUACGACAACGGCGGCAGCACCGUCCCUGCGGCUUACCCUGCGCCGCGUCGAAAGCCAUAGCGAACCGGAUGUGUGCGCCACUGACUUUGGCGCCGAUGAGUCCGCCUCUGCCGCCUACGACUUCGACUCUUACCGUGUGCACGCCGGUGGGGACUGUCGUGGUAUCCAUGACAGCAACCUUCAAGGGUCGCAGCUGCAACAGCAGUGGCAAGCUCGCAACGGUUUUGGUCUCGUCUACGUGAGUGCCUUGCUUCACACGCCAUCUCAGCCACCACCACCGAUGGGCAUGGCUGGAAAGCCGUCAGUCGCGUGCGAGUCCGUCAUGGUGCUCACACCAGCUGGACAUGUCGAGCUGGUGGUGCCUGCGACAUCCCACGCUGCUGCUCGACCUAUCACGAUCACCGAUGUACAGUAUAGUCUCUUGCGCAGCGCCGUCGGCUGCUCCUUGCACCUUCGUGACGAGGAAGUCGCCUUCACCUACGCCCCAGGUACCCCCGAUCUCCACGGAGCGACGGUGGUGGACGCGGCACACGUGGUGCUGCGGCUACGACGACGCGCCUCACGCGCACAUCUCGAGGCCGCGAGGCAGCAGGUGCAAGGGGUGGGAAAAAGGUGAGGCUCUGGAGGAAAAAAUGGAGAGCAACUGAAGUGAGGCCAUGCCUGCCCCUGGCUCACGCCUCGCCCACAUCCACCACCUGCCCCUCCACCCACGUACGUGCGUACACACUUCAUGCGUCUCCUCCUCUACCGCCAUGCCGUACGACUAGCAAACACACACACACACACACACGGGCACUCAAACACGAAUAGGCACCCGAUGGAGCGCAUCUCCGCACCCUGCGUUGUAAUCAAGGCGAACGAAAGAAGAAAGCGCCACACGGCUGGGCCGCUGAUGACGGCCGUUUUCGUUGCG
Molecule: unclassified non-coding RNA, 2906 nt
Filed under: Leishmania donovani
Lineage: Eukaryota; Euglenozoa; Kinetoplastea; Trypanosomatida; Trypanosomatidae
Description: gene:LdHU3.18.0890(CDS-product:hypothetical_prote in_conserved)
Source: RNAcentral